AGACCCGAAACCCGGUGAUCUAGCCAUGGGCAGGUUGAAGGUUGGGUAACACUAACUGGAGGACCGAACCGACUAAUGUUGAAAAAUUAGCGGAUGACCUGUGGCUGGGGGUGAAAGGCCAAUCAAACCGGGAGAUAGCUGGUUCUCCCCGAAAGCUAUUUAGGUAGCGCCUCGUGAAUUCAUCUCCGGGGGUAGAGCACUGUUUCGGCUAGGGGGCCAUCCCGGCUUACCAACCCGAUGCAAACUGCGAAUACCGGAGAAUGUUAUCACGGGAGACACACGGCGGGUGCUAACGUCCGUCGUGAAGAGGGAAACAACCCAGACCGCCAGCUAAGGUCCCAAAGUCAUGGUUAAGUGGGAAACGAUGUGGGAAGGCCCAGACAGCCAGGAUGUUGGCUUAGAAGCAGCCAUCAUUUAAAGAAAGCGUAAUAGCUCACUGGUCGAGUCGGCCUGCGCGGAAGAUGUAACGGGGCUAAACCAUGCACCGAAGCUGCGGCAGCGACACUCAGGUGUUGUUGGGUAGGGGAGCGUUCUGUAAGCCUGUGAAGGUGGCCUGUGAGGGUUGCUGGAGGUAUCAGAAGUGCGAAUGCUGACAUAAGUAACGAUAAAGCGGGUGAAAAGCCCGCUCGCCGGAAGACCAAGGGUUCCUG
RNAcentral lists this ribosomal RNA (650 nucleotides) under Salmonella enterica. RNAcentral's name for it is "partial 23S ribosomal RNA". It matches the Rfam family "Bacterial large subunit ribosomal RNA", at positions 711 to 1357 of the family's 2925-position model. Lineage: Bacteria; Pseudomonadati; Pseudomonadota; Gammaproteobacteria; Enterobacterales; Enterobacteriaceae. The record is from RNAcentral.